Molecule: ribosomal RNA, 833 nt
Filed under: uncultured Bacillota bacterium
Lineage: Bacteria; Bacillati; Bacillota
Description: bacterial SSU rRNA
Rfam family: Bacterial small subunit ribosomal RNA
Source: RNAcentral
AUGCAAGUCGAACGCGAAAGUCCCGCAAGGGAUCGGUAGAGUGGCAAACGGGUGAGUAACACGUGGGUGACCUGCCUUCGAGCGGGGGAUAACGUCCCGAAAGGGACGCUAAUACCGCAUGACAUCCUGCCUUUGAAGAGGUGGAGAUCAAAGCUGGGGAUCGCAAGACCUAGCACUCGAAGAGGGGCCCGCGCCCGAUUAGCUAGUUGGUGGGGUAACGGCUCACCAAGGCAACGAUCGGUAGCCGGCCUGAGAGGGCGGACGGCCACACUGGGACUGAGACACGGCCCAGACUCCUACGGGAGGCAGCAGUGGGGAAUUGUUCGCAAUGGGCGCAAGCCUGACGACGCAACGCCGCGUGGAGGACGAAGAUCUUCGGGUCGUAAACUCCUUUCGAUCGAGACGAAUAGCCCCUGGGCUAAUCACCAGGGGAAUGACGGUACCGAGAGAAGAAGCCCCGGCUAACUCCGUGCCAGCAGCCGCGGUAAUACGGGGGGGGCAAGCGUUGUUCGGAAUUACUGGGCGUAAAGGGCUCGUAGGCGGCCAACUAAGUCAGACGUGAAAUCCCUCGGCUUAACCGGGGAACUGCGUCUGAUACUGGAUGGCUUGAGUUCGGGAGAGGGAUGUGGAAUUCCAGGUGUAGCGGUGAAAUGCGUAGAUAUCUGGAGGAACACCGGUUGGCGAAGGCGGCAUCCUGGACCGACACUGACGCUUAUGAGCGAAAGCCAGGGGAGCAAACGGGAUUAGAUACCCCGGUAGUCCUGGCCCUAAACGAUGAAUGCUUGGUGUGGCGGGUAUCGAUCCCUGCCGUGCCGAAGCUAACGCAUUAAGCA